RNAcentral lists this ribosomal RNA (423 nucleotides) under uncultured eukaryote. RNAcentral's name for it is "bacterial SSU rRNA". It matches the Rfam family "Eukaryotic small subunit ribosomal RNA", at positions 592 to 1018 of the family's 1831-position model. The record is from RNAcentral.
CAAUAGCGUAUAUUAAAGUUGUUGCGGUUAAAAAGCUCGUAGUUGGAUUUCUGCCGAGGACGACCGGUCCGCCCUCUGGGUGAGUAUCUGGUUCGGCCUGGGCAUCUUCUUGGAGAACGUAUCUGCACUUGACUGUGUGGUGCGGUAUCCAGGACUUUUACUUUGAGGAAAUUAGAGUGUUUAAAGCAGGCUUAAGCCGUUGAAUACAUUAGCAUGGAAUAAUAAGAUAAGACUUGGGUCAUUAUUUUGUUGGUUUGCGGAUCGAGGUAAUGAUUAAUAGGGAUAGUUGGGGGUAUUCAUAUUUAAUUGUCAGAGGUGAAAUUCUUGGAUUUAUGAAAGAUGAACUUAGGCGAAAGCAUUUACCAAGGAUGUUUUCAUUAAUCAAGAACGAAAGUUAGGGGAUCGAAGACGAUCAGAUACCGU